RNAcentral lists this long non-coding RNA (1211 nucleotides) under Pan troglodytes (chimpanzee). RNAcentral's name for it is "long non-coding RNA NONPTRT016568". Lineage: Eukaryota; Metazoa; Chordata; Mammalia; Primates; Hominidae. The record is from RNAcentral.
GGCAACUUUAUUCAGAAGGGGGCUGCCAAGGUUAAACAGAGCUAUUGAAGAAGAAAUCAUCCCUCACGCCUCCACCACAGGCCCAAAGAAGAACUAUAAGAGGAUCCUUUGGAAAAUGGAUUGAAUUUUGCUCUUGUGGCUACAAGGAAUAGAACCAGCAUCAAGGUUUAAGUUCCUAUGAAAGCAGAACCUGAAAGGAAGACUUGAGUUAAUUUAAGAGGUGAUCACGGUGAACAGAAGUGAUGGAAUCAGAAGAAUAAAACAGAAAAUCCAAUAAAGUUGGAUUAUGAGCUGGCUACCACUGAGAUUCACUGGGGUUCAGUCCUGCUGAGGAUUCUUUGAGUAAAUUAAUAGAGAAUGCCUUAUAUUGUCUCACCAAAGGACAAUUGAGUUGAUACACUUAUCUACUUCUUCUCAUCCCUCAUUAGUUGAGGGCUGCUGCCAGCUGUGUCAACACCUUCAAAAGUCUGAACUAUUUGUGCAUAAGCUAAAUGGGCUUUUGCAGUGUUGGGAAAAGCCCAGAGUCAGAAGAACAGAAAGACACUGUGGUCUGCAGUUGAGAAGGGAUGCCGGCAUUGCCCAUGAAAUGUGCAUGAAAUGUUGGCAUUGAACUAUGGCUGCACAAAAUCAGCCUCCUACGUGAGAGUUUCCCAAUUCUAAGAACAUUCUGAUGUUCUAUGCCACAUCUUGCAAUUGGGUAUGAACAAUUUUUCAAUAAUAGCAAAUAAAUGAGUCUUCUCAGUGUAUCUUCAUCUUGUCACCACUGCUGAAGAGCGUGAUUCUCCUCUAGCCUAGACAUGAGCUUCGACUGCUGUUCAGUUACUCCAGUAAACUCCAGGAUACUUAUUAAUGAUGGUAACAGCAGCCAACAAGUAUUAAGAACUUUUGCUAUUAAACUUCCCUGCUACCAUUGGGACCAAGAAUCUGGACAACAAAUUUUCUAUUUUUAUUUUUUAUUUUCCUUCCAUAAAUGCUGUUCAACAUAAACGGGCUGGGUUGAAUUGAAUCGGGCAGAGUUGACAGAACACAGGACCAGGAAGCAGGUCACCCAAGCUGCUGGCCCUGCCAUGGCUCCUGGUGGACGUGAGGGAGGUGAGUUUCCUCUCUAUGCUCCAGGUGGAGUUACCUUAUAUGGUCUUAAGAUCUGUCUAUUAAGAAGAGCACUUAGUGCAUUUACAUUUAAUGUCAUUACUGACAUAUUUGAGUUAAAU